Molecule: small RNA, 57 nt
Organism: Oryzias melastigma (Indian medaka)
Lineage: Eukaryota; Metazoa; Chordata; Actinopteri; Beloniformes; Adrianichthyidae
Source: Ensembl
GACACUGGUAAUGGUACGCCUGCUUCAGCAGGUUGGGGUUCGAUUCCCUGCAGUGUC